This 468-nucleotide ribosomal RNA is filed under the name uncultured bacterium. RNAcentral describes it as "partial 16S ribosomal RNA". It matches the Rfam family "Bacterial small subunit ribosomal RNA", at positions 28 to 507 of the family's 1533-position model. The record is from RNAcentral.
GACGAACGCUGGCGGCGUGCUUAACACAUGCAAGUCGAACGGAAAGGCCCUGCUUUUGUGGGGUGCUCGAGUGGCGAACGGGUGAGUAACACGUGAGUAACCUGCCCUUGACUUUGGGAUAACUUCAGGAAACUGGGGCUAUUACCGGAUAGGAGCUCCUGCUGCAUGGUGGGGGUUGGAAAGUUUCGGCGGUUGGGGAUGGACUCGCGGCUUAUCAGCUUGUUGGUGGGGUAGUGGCUUACCAAGGCUUUGACGGGUAGCCGGCCUGGGAGGGUGACCGGCGACAUUGGGACUGAGAUACGGCCCAGACGCCUACGGGAGGCAGCAGUGGGGAAUAUUGCGCAAUGGGCGGAAGCCUGAGGCAGCAACGCCGCGUGCGGGAUGACGGCCUUCGGGUUGUAAACCGCUGUGGCCGGUGACGAAGCGUGAGUGACGGUAAUGGGUAAAGAAGCACCGGCUAACUACGUG